GGGGACGUUACGGAUUCGACAGGGGUAGUUUGAGCUUAGGUUGCGAGUCGAGGGGAUCGGCCUCGUUAAAACGUCAACGCCUAUAACUGGCAAAGAAAACAAUAACUUCGCUUUAGCUGCUUAAUAACAGACUAAUGCGGUUCCUCCCUCCAUCGUCCAUGUGGUAGGGUAAGGGACUCACUCUUAGUGGACUACGCCGGAGCUCACCGUCUGAGGGCAAAGGAAGAGAGUAAUCAGACUAGCUGCUCAUGAAGCCUGUCGAUAGGCCGAGGAGUCAGCGAAAUGCCAAUAUAUCGACUAUACUCGUAGACGCUUAAGUGGCAAUGCUUUUGGACGUGGGUUCGACUCCCACCGUCUCCACCA
This 363-nucleotide transfer-messenger RNA is filed under the name Caryophanales. Its description in RNAcentral is "Litchfieldia sp014837155 Standard tmRNA". It matches the Rfam family "transfer-messenger RNA". From Rfam's summary of the family: Bacterial tmRNA, also known as 10Sa RNA or SsrA, is named for its dual tRNA and mRNA-like properties. Its role is to liberate the mRNA from a stalled ribosome. Lineage: Bacteria; Bacillati; Bacillota; Bacilli. The record is from RNAcentral. RNAcentral also lists the same sequence under 1 other name.